RNAcentral lists this non-coding RNA (45 nucleotides) under Lysobacterales bacterium. RNAcentral describes it as "Xanthomonadales bacterium Guanidine-II sequence". It matches the Rfam family "Guanidine-II riboswitch aptamer (mini-ykkC)". From Rfam's summary of the family: Simpler in structure and has fewer highly conserved nucleotide positions than the ykkC-yxkD leader. Despite this each of its two stem-loop structures directly bind free guanidine. The record is from RNAcentral. Lineage: Bacteria; Pseudomonadati; Pseudomonadota; Gammaproteobacteria; Lysobacterales.
CCGACGGGACGACCCGGCGGCCAUCCCGUCAUCGGGGACGACCCC